Molecule: unclassified non-coding RNA, 316 nt
Filed under: plant metagenome
Description: partial contains 5.8S ribosomal RNA, internal transcribed spacer 2, and large subunit ribosomal RNA
Rfam family: 5.8S ribosomal RNA (bases 1-105)
Source: RNAcentral
GAAAUGCGAUAACUAGUGUGAAUUGCAGAAUUCCGUGAAUCAUCGAGUCUUUGAACGCACAUUGCGCCCCCUGGUAUUCCGGGGGGCAUGCCUGUCCGAGCAUCAUUGCUGCCCAUCAAGCACGGCUUGUGUGUUGGGUCGUCGUCCCCUCUCCGGGGGGGACGGGCCCCAAAGGCAGCGGCGGCACCGCGUCCGAUCCUCGAGCGUAUGGGGCUUUGUCACCCGCUCUGUAGGCCCGGCCGGCGCUUGCCGAACGCAAAUCAAUCUUUUUCCAGGUUGACCUCGGAUCAGGUAGGGAUACCCGCUGAACUUAAGC